This 580-nucleotide ribosomal RNA is filed under the name Microbacterium sp. HRRP060. Its description in RNAcentral is "bacterial SSU rRNA". It matches the Rfam family "Bacterial small subunit ribosomal RNA", at positions 102 to 694 of the family's 1533-position model. The record is from RNAcentral. Lineage: Bacteria; Bacillati; Actinomycetota; Actinomycetes; Micrococcales; Microbacteriaceae.
ACGGGUGAGUAACACGUGAGCAACCUGCCCCUGACUCUGGGAUAAGCGCUGGAAACGGCGUCUAAUACUGGAUACGAGUAGCGACCGCAUGGUCAGUUACUGGAAAGAUUUAUUGGUUGGGGAUGGGCUCGCGGCCUAUCAGCUUGUUGGUGAGGUAAUGGCUCACCAAGGCGUCGACGGGUAGCCGGCCUGAGAGGGUGACCGGCCACACUGGGACUGAGACACGGCCCAGACUCCUACGGGAGGCAGCAGUGGGGAAUAUUGCACAAUGGGCGCAAGCCUGAUGCAGCAACGCCGCGUGAGGGAUGACGGCCUUCGGGUUGUAAACCUCUUUUAGCAGGGAAGAAGCGAAAGUGACGGUACCUGCAGAAAAAGCGCCGGCUAACUACGUGCCAGCAGCCGCGGUAAUACGUAGGGCGCAAGCGUUAUCCGGAAUUAUUGGGCGUAAAGAGCUCGUAGGCGGUUUGUCGCGUCUGCUGUGAAAUCCGGAGGCUCAACCUCCGGCCUGCAGUGGGUACGGGCAGACUAGAGUGCGGUAGGGGAGAUUGGAAUUCCUGGUGUAGCGGGUGGAAUGCGCAGA